CUGAGUUUGACCUUGAUCUGC
RNAcentral lists this non-coding RNA (21 nucleotides) under Arabidopsis thaliana (thale cress). Lineage: Eukaryota; Viridiplantae; Streptophyta; Magnoliopsida; Brassicales; Brassicaceae. The record is from RNAcentral.